GACGAACUGCCCAAACGUUGUUCGGAAUCACUGGGCUUAAAGGGCGCGUAGGCGGCGGGGUAAGUCUGGUGUGAAAUCUCGGAGCUCAACUCCGAAAUUGCACUGGAUACUGCUCUGCUAGAGGGCUGGAGAGGAGAUCGGAAUUCACGGUGUAGCAGUGAAAUGCGUAGAUAUCGUGAGGAAGACCAGUGGCGAAGGCGGAUCUCUGGACAGCUCCUGACGCUGAGGCGCGAAGGCUAGGGGAGCAAACGGG
This 253-nucleotide ribosomal RNA is filed under the name uncultured bacterium. Its description in RNAcentral is "partial 16S ribosomal RNA". It matches the Rfam family "Bacterial small subunit ribosomal RNA", at positions 524 to 776 of the family's 1533-position model. The record is from RNAcentral.